UUCCUUCUGGCUUUCCCACCAAUAUCCUAUACAUAUUCCUUGUCCCCCCAAUCGUGCUACAUGCCCCGCCCACCUCGAAUUGAGCUGGUUCUGUUAAUAAAUUUAGAGGGUUUAAUACAUGCUUCUAACUUGAUUAAAAGAAAUUUUACAUUUUUUAGAACAAAAGAUACCCCUCAUUAACUGCUUAACUUCAAGAUAGCAUAUGCUUCUUGUAGUACAAAAAAUAGUUUGUUUCCUUCAUUUUUUACUUUGUAUUGAUACAAAUUAGCAUGGUAGGUUUUGUAAUAAAUGUAAAUAAUAAUCACAGAAAAUUUUGUCCCAGCUCUGUUUUCACCAUAUUUAUCUAUCUACCUACCAAUGCCUAAUACUCCAUUAUUUGUAAAGUUUGAGCAGAACAUUUUGCUCAACAACAAACUUUGAUUUGUAUUGUCUGUAGCUUAUUUAUAAAGAAUUAGGAUAUGGUUAUGACAUUGCCCCCUCAUGUGUGAAGGUAAUUUUAGAACAACUGCAAAGUUUCAAAAGCACUAAUAUAGCAUAGAAGAAAUCUGUAAGUUCUAUAUAUCAGAAGCAUCUAGAUUAUUGAAGUUACAGCUCACAGUGCAGCAAAACUAUUAUGACUGCCAGAAGAGAUUUACUGAAUUUACAAAGUGGAACUUGUGCGCCUGCUUAUUACUGACUGCAGAAUAAAGGACUAUGUGCUUAGGGUAGCCUCCAAUGGUACUGCAUUCAUAUAAAAUUUUAUGAAAAAUUUGUCCAACAGUUUUGAGUUGAAAUGUGCACAGACAUAUAGAGAGACAUUAGCCCCCUCAUCUGCAUUCUACUUAUGUACAUCAUGCAAAGAAGGCAUAACAAGACAAGAAAAGCAGGCCAAACAGCUGUGGCAGUAACCUAGUUAUAACAUUAUAUACAUCCAUAUUACAACCAAAAAUUAAACACUGGCUUCCACAGGUUUGAUUUAAAAGUAACAAACUUCUGAAAUACCACUGUAAAAAUGGCUUACCUUUUUAUUGUGAAGAAGUAUGCCACACAUGAUAAGACAACAAAAAAACACACUGUAAGAACUCUUUCUCUUCAUACUUGUGUGUCUCUCACAGCAAAACAAACUGCAGGAUUCAAAUUUUGCUGCACUGUAAUAACAAUGCAGCUGCAGGCAACUUGGUCCAAACAGUUGCUUACAACACUAUGACACCACCAUACAUUAUGUUUACAUAUAUAUUUAUACUAUAAAAAUAAUGAAAAAUGUACACACUAAAAAACAUGGAACUGCUUCCUUGCAACAUACCAGAACACAAGUUACAUAAUGCUCAUCAUCUCUCCAUACAAGAAUCACACAAUCAGUCACCAUUCACAACACAAAUGCAUGCAAAAAUUCUAAUCUUUCUGAUGGAAACCUUUCCAUUUUGUUGUUUAUGUACUGUUAAAACCAAAAUUUGCCUUAGUUAUUCUUCUUCUUCUUCUUCAUCUUACUAUUAUUAAUGGUAAGCAAUCAUUUUUGCAUAAUUUCUAUUGUAAUAGUUGGAAUCUUCCUGUCAUAAAAUAUAAGAAGACAGGUUCUGACUAUAAAGGAAUUCUGAUGCUGUACCUUACUUCUGCUGCAGAUGAUGAAAGAAACAGUGAUGAGUUAGUUAUUACAGAUUAUACUUGUUAUGUACACUUCCAUUUUAAAUAUGAAUUUAAAAAUUGCUUUAAAUGUAGAAAAUAUUUAUCAAAAAACUGCUUUGCUUUUAUA
Molecule: long non-coding RNA, 1729 nt
Organism: Cryptotermes secundus
Lineage: Eukaryota; Metazoa; Arthropoda; Insecta; Blattodea; Kalotermitidae
Exons: 2
Source: RefSeq, a predicted model, not a curated record